GACGAACGCUGGCGGCGUGCCUAAUACAUGCAAGUCGAGCGGGUGCCUUCGGGCACCAGCGGCGGACGGGUGAGUAACACGUGGGCAAUCUGCCUUUCAGACCGGAAUAACGCCUGGAAACGGGUGCUAAUGCUGGAUAGAGCAACGAGUAGGCAUCUACUAGUUGGGAAAGGUGCUACGGCACCACUGAGAGAGGAGCCCGCGGCGCAUUAGCUAGUUGGUGGGGUAACGGCCCACCAAGGCGACGAUGCGUAGCCGACCUGAGAGGGUGACCGGCCACACUGGGACUGAGACACGGCCCAGACUCCUACGGGAGGCAGCAGUAGGGAAUCUUCGGCAAUGGGCGAAAGCCUGACCGAGCAACGCCGCGUGAGCGAAGAAGGCCUUCGGGUUGUAAAGCUCAGUCACCCGGGAAGAGCGGGCAGGAGAGGGAAUGCUCCUGUCGAGACGGUACCGGGAGAGGAAGCCCCGGCUAACUACGUG
This 483-nucleotide ribosomal RNA is filed under the name uncultured bacterium. Its description in RNAcentral is "bacterial SSU rRNA". It matches the Rfam family "Bacterial small subunit ribosomal RNA", at positions 28 to 507 of the family's 1533-position model. The record is from RNAcentral.